UCAGACGAUGCGUCAUGCAUAUCAAUAAGCGGAGGAAAAGAGACUAACAAGGAUUCCCCUAGUAACGGCGAGUGAAGCGGGAAGAGCUCAAAUUUGAAAUCUUAAAGGGUUUCCCUUUACGAAUUGUAGUUUAAAGAAGUGUUUUCUGUUGAGGUUUUGGUAAAAGUUCUUUGGAAUAGGACAUCAUAGAGGGUGAGAAUCCCGUAUUUGACCUUUACUUUCAACUUUGUGAUACACUUUCAAAGAGUCGGAUUGUUUGGGAAUGCAGUCCAAAAUGGGUGGUAAAUUUCAUCUAAAGCUAAAUAUUGGCGAGAGACCGAUAGCGAACAAGUACCGUGAGGGAAAGAUGAAAAGAACUUUGAAAAGAGAGUUAAACAGUACGUGAAAUUGUCAAAAGGGAAGCGUUUGACACCAGUGUUGUUUUUCUGAAAAUCAAUUAAAGAACUGUUUAUGCUAAGUUGUUUAGACUUUAUCAGCUAACUGUUUAGUUUUGAGCUUUUCUUUAAUGCACUUUUCAGUUAACAAGUCAACAUCAAUUUCUUUUGCUGUAAAAAAGCUUGAGGAAGGUGGCUUGAGAUUCGUCUUAAGUGUUUAUAGCCUCUUGCCUAUGCAGUCGGAGAGAUUGAGGUCUGCAGCGUAGAUCCUUCGGGGCUAAAUGCAUUUGUGCUAAGUUAUAACAUUUUAUAGACAACUUGUUGACUAUGAUUUGUCUUGUAGCUUACUCGCUUAUGUUAUUUUACCUACGCUUAGGAUGUUGAAUCUGUGCGAGACUAC
Molecule: ribosomal RNA, 774 nt
Filed under: uncultured Neocallimastigales
Lineage: Eukaryota; Fungi; Neocallimastigomycota; Neocallimastigomycetes; Neocallimastigales
Description: partial large subunit ribosomal RNA
Rfam family: Eukaryotic large subunit ribosomal RNA
Source: RNAcentral